UAUGGACAAUGGGGCAACCCUAGAUCCAUGCAAUGCCGCGUGUGUGAAGAAGUGCUUUCGGGUUGUAAAGCACUGUAAAGUCACUUUGUCCGGAAGAGACGUUCGUGGCUAAUACCCGUGGCGGAAUGACGGUACCGGAAGAAUAAGCACCGGCUAACUACGUGCCAGCAGCCGCGGUAAUACGUAGGGUGCAAGCGUUAAUCGGAAUUACUGGGCGUAAAGCGUGCGCAGGCGGUUCGCUAAGACAGAUGUGAAAUCCCCGGGCUUAACCUGGGAACUGCAUUUGUGACUGGCGGGCUAGAGUAUGGCAGAGGGGGGUAGAAUUCCACGUGUAGCAGUGAAAUGCGUAGAGAUGUGGAGGAAUACCGAUGGCGAAGGCAGCCCCCUGGGCCAAUACUGACGCUCAUGCACGAAAGCGUGGGGAGCAAACAGGAUUAGAUACCCUGGUAGUCCACGCCCUAAACGAUGUCAACUGGUUGUCGGGCCUUCAUUGGCUUGGUAACGUAGCUAACGCGUGAAGUUGACCGCCUGGGGAGUACGGUCGCAAGAUUAAAACUCAAAGGAAUUGACGGGGACCCGCACAAGCGGUGGAUGAUGUGGAUUAAUUCGAUGCAACGCGAAAAACCUUACCUACCCUUGACAUGUACGGAACCCUGCUGAGAGGUGGGGGUGCCCGAAAGGGAGCCGUAACACAGGUGCUGCAUGCAUCGACCGUCGUCAGCUCGUGUCGUCCCGAAAGGGAGCCGUAACACAGGUGCUGCAUGGCGUGUCGCUCAGCUCGUGUCGU
This 787-nucleotide ribosomal RNA is filed under the name Burkholderia sp. Its description in RNAcentral is "bacterial SSU rRNA". It matches the Rfam family "Bacterial small subunit ribosomal RNA", at positions 363 to 1068 of the family's 1533-position model. Lineage: Bacteria; Pseudomonadati; Pseudomonadota; Betaproteobacteria; Burkholderiales; Burkholderiaceae. The record is from RNAcentral.